GAAAGCAGAAAGAUGGGGAGGAGUAGAAAGAGUGUGAUUGGGAGGGAGAAAGAAGAGACAAAGGUUUGAAAGGGCCUGAAGGGAAGAAUGAAAGAUAAGCUGAGGAUGGAGAGGAGAAAUGAGAUUCCAUAAGUAAAUAACAGGAAAGAAAACACUCGCAUCUAACGUUCACAUAUAGUGCAGUGGGGUGAUGGCACUUUCGAGGUUAUCAGAGCAUUUCAAAUAUACAGUGAAUUUUUCAUAAAGGCUUGUUUUAAGAGAUUAUGGUCAGCGCAUGAUACUGUGGGAGGAGGUUACAGAAAAUCUUUUCCCCCCAGAAAAAAAUAUUUGGAGGGAGGGAUCAGGGAGAGAGAGAGAGAAUCAUUGCACCAUGAUCAUAAUUUGCUCACAGUUACUUACCUACAUUAAAUUAUUGGGGCAUUAUGUUCUCUUUUAAAUAGCACAAGACAAAAAUUAUUUCACUAAAGUAGGUGAUCUUUAUUUAACAAAGUCAAGGAGGCCCAUGUUUAUAUCUCGGCACAGCCUUUUGACUUUAGGUGACUGAGAAAUUCCAGAGGGAUCUAACAAAGCAGUCAGAACAUAAGUGGGUCUUGAGGAGGAAUGUGAAUAUGAACAAAUCUGCAGAAGCUGGUGGAGAAGGACCCGGGAAGAGCUGCUCAUAGGGAUGGACAGGAGGAACCAGAAGCAAUUUGAGUUCCUCAAGGCACAGAAGGAGCUGGCUCUUCAGCAGGAAGAGAAACUGAUGAAUUAGUUCAUGGAGCUGGAAGUACACCUCAGGGUACAGGAGCAUGCCUUAAUGGAGAGGUACACAGAUCUGGUGGCAGGACAAGUUCAGGGUCCACCUGCUGCUGUGGCUACUGCAUAUCUAUGAAUGGCUACCAUCUCCUCUUCCAGGGUGCUGCAGAGGGGGACGACCCAAUACUCCAAGUGACCAUGAGGAGCCUGCAGGAUUCCUGGGACCACAUCCUCCACUGGCAUCCAAAACCCCUCACAGGGGAACAUCCAUGAACAGCCAGGAGGGGAAUGAUGAUCCUGGGGGAAUCACUGAAGCCCACCAAGUGUCUGCCUCCCAAACCCCACACAGGAAACAUCCCUGUUUGUCCCCAAGAACAAUUUCACCCCAUCAUUCCCCCCCUUGUUGGGAGGAAGGGGAGGGCAAGGGGAUGGGUUCAGAGACAUUAACAUUUGGCCAUUAUUCAUAGAUUCAGUCCCAUUAUGUUCUGUUGGUUUACGUUUCCUUUUUAAAAUAUUUCAGUUAUUUG
Long non-coding RNA from Mauremys reevesii (Reeves's turtle), 1262 nucleotides. RefSeq lists it as uncharacterized. The record is from RefSeq and is a predicted model, not a curated record. The transcript is spliced from 3 exons. NCBI's taxonomy places the organism in Eukaryota, Metazoa, Chordata, Testudines, Geoemydidae.